RNAcentral lists this transfer RNA (65 nucleotides) under Dipodomys ordii (Ord's kangaroo rat). It matches the Rfam family "tRNA". Rfam says of the family: Transfer RNA (tRNA) molecules are approximately 80 nucleotides in length. Their secondary structure includes four short double-helical elements and three loops (D, anti-codon, and T loops). The record is from Rfam by way of RNAcentral. Lineage: Eukaryota; Metazoa; Chordata; Mammalia; Rodentia; Heteromyidae.
GGUGGCUUAGCGGUAGAGCUCUUGCCUUGCAUGCAUGAGGCCCUGGGUUCGAUUCCUCAGCACCA